This 492-nucleotide ribosomal RNA is filed under the name uncultured bacterium. RNAcentral's name for it is "partial 16S ribosomal RNA". It matches the Rfam family "Bacterial small subunit ribosomal RNA", at positions 29 to 507 of the family's 1533-position model. The record is from RNAcentral.
AGUGAACGCUGGCGGUAGGCCUAACACAUGCAAGUCGAACGGCAGCACAGUAAGAGCUUGCUCUUACGGGUGGCGAGUGGCGGACGGGUGAGGAAUACAUCGGAAUCUACUUUUUCGUGGGGGAUAACGUAGGGAAACUUACGCUAAUACCGCAUACGACCUACGGGUGAAAGCAGGGGAUCUUCGGACCUUGCGCGAUUGAAUGAGCCGAUGUCGGAUUAGCUAGUUGGCGGGGUAAAGGCCCACCAAGGCGACGAUCCGUAGCUGGUCUGAGAGGAUGAGCAGCCACACUGGAACUGAGACACGGUCCAGACUCCUACGGGAGGCAGCAUUGGGGAAUAUUGGACGAUGGGCGCAAGCCUGAUCCAGACAUACCGCGUGGGUGAAGAAGGCCUUCGGGUUGUAAAGCCCUUUUGUUGGGAAAGAAAAGCAGCAGGUUAAUACCCCGCUGUUCUGACGGUACCCAAAGAAUAAGCACCGGCUAACUUCGUG